CGAACGAAGCGCUUGAGAACAACUCUUCGGAGGCGUUCUCUUGUGACUGAGUGGCGGACGGGUGAGUAACGCGUGGGUAACCUGCCCUAUACAGGGGGAUAACAGUUAGAAAUGACUGCUAAUACCGCAUAAGCGCACAGGACCGCAUGGUUCGGUGUGAAAAACUGAGGUGGUAUAGGAUGGACCCGCGUCUGAUUAGCUUGUUGGUGGGGUAACGGCUCACCAAGGCGACGAUCAGUAGCCGGCCUGAGAGGGCGACCGGCCACAUUGGGACUGAGACACGGCCCAAACUCCUACGGGAGGCAGCAGUGGGGAAUAUUGCACAAUGGGGGAAACCCUGAUGCAGCGACGCCGCGUGAGUGAAGAAGUAUUUCGGUAUGUAAAGCUCUAUCAGCAGGGAAGAAAAUGACGGUACCUGACUAAGAAGCCCCGGCUAACUACGUGCCAGCAGCCGCGGUAAUACGUAGGGGGCAAGCGUUAUCCGGAUUUACUGGGUGUAAAGGGAGCGUAGGUGGCAUGGUAAGCCAGAAGUGAAAACCCGGGGCUCAACCCCGCGGAUUGCUUUUGGAACUAUCAGGCUGGAGUGCUGGAGGGGUAAGCGGAAUUCCUAGUGUAGCGGUGAAAUGCG
This 628-nucleotide ribosomal RNA is filed under the name uncultured bacterium. RNAcentral describes it as "bacterial SSU rRNA". It matches the Rfam family "Bacterial small subunit ribosomal RNA", at positions 63 to 690 of the family's 1533-position model. The record is from RNAcentral.